Molecule: long non-coding RNA, 301 nt
Filed under: Mytilus galloprovincialis (Mediterranean mussel)
Lineage: Eukaryota; Metazoa; Mollusca; Bivalvia; Mytilida; Mytilidae
Source: RNAcentral
UGCAUUUAAAUAUUUGAACAUGUUUUUGUAAGUGGUAGCUUUUAUUAUACUGCAGGUGCAGAAAAUCCAAUAUUUUUAUAAGCAGUAGAUUUUGUAUUCUAGAUACAAUUGUUAGAGUUUAUACUUUGUAUAUAUGUCUGACAAAACACUUGGUAAAUUUUGUAAUUUUCAUUUAUUCUGAGCAUACAUGCUGACAUAGGGUCUGUGAAAAGUUUUAAUAUGUUCUUUUAAAUUGUCCUUUAUUACUCAAGAUCAUGAAAAAGCUUUAUUUUGUAUAAUUUUAUUUUGCUAGCCCAAAAAA